UACGGGGCGCAGCAGGCGCGAAAACUUUGCAAUAAGCGAAAGCUUGACAGGGCUAUCCCGAGUGCCAUCCGCUGAGGAAGGCUUUUACCCAGUCUAGAACGCUGGGGGAAUAAGGAGAGGGCAAGUCUGGUGUCAGCCGCCGCGGUAAUACCAGCUCUCCGAGUGGUGUGGAUGUUUAUUGGGCCUAAAGCAUCCGUAGCUGGCCAGGUUAGUCCCCUGUUAAAUCCACCGAAUUAAUCGUUGGAUUGCGGGGGAUACUGCUUGGCUAGGGGACGAGAGAGGCAGACGGUAUUUCCGGGGUAGGGGUGAAAUCCUAUAAUCCCGGGAAGACCACCAGUGGCGAAGGCUGUCUGCUAGAACGCGCCCGACGGUGAGGGAUGAAAGCUGGGGGAGCGAACCGGAUUAGAUACCCGGGUAGUCCCAGCUGUAAACGAUGCAGACUAGGUGUUGGGUCGGCUACGAGCUGUCCCAGUGCCGCAGGGAAGCCAUUAAGCCUGCCACCUGGGAAGUACGGCCGCAAGGCUGAA
Molecule: ribosomal RNA, 527 nt
Filed under: uncultured archaeon
Lineage: Archaea
Description: bacterial SSU rRNA
Rfam family: Archaeal small subunit ribosomal RNA
Source: RNAcentral